Molecule: ribosomal RNA, 497 nt
Filed under: uncultured bacterium
Lineage: Bacteria
Description: partial 16S ribosomal RNA
Rfam family: Bacterial small subunit ribosomal RNA
Source: RNAcentral
GAUGAACGCUGGCGGCGUGCCUAAUACAUGCAAGUCGAGCGAACAGACGAGGAGCUUGCUCCUUUGACGUUAGCGGCGGACGGGUGAGUAACACGUGGGUAACCUACCUAUAAGACUGGGAUAACUUCGGGAAACCGGAGCUAAUACCGGAUAAUAUUUCGAACCGCAUGGUUCGAUAGUGAAAGAUGGCUUUGCUAUCACUUAUAGAUGGACCUGCGCCGUAUUAGCUAGUUGGUAAGGUAACGGCUUACCAAGGCAACGAUACGUAGCCGACCUGAGAGGGUGAUCGGCCACACUGGAACUGAGACACGGUCCAGACUCCUACGGGAGGCAGCAGUAGGGAAUCUUCCGCAAUGGGCGAAAGCCUGACGGAGCAACGCCGCGUGAGUGAUGAAGGUCUUCUGAUCGUAAAACUCUGUUAUUAGGGAAGAACAAACGUGUAAGUAACUGUGCACGUCUUGACGGUACCUAAUCAGAAAGCCACGGCUAACUACGUG